Molecule: long non-coding RNA, 193 nt
Organism: Enhydra lutris kenyoni (northern sea otter)
Lineage: Eukaryota; Metazoa; Chordata; Mammalia; Carnivora; Mustelidae
Exons: 3
Source: RefSeq, a predicted model, not a curated record
CGGGGUCCCCGCCAGCUGCGCCAUCCACGACCGCACAGUCUUGGGCUCGGGAGCGCAGAAUGUUAGUCCCACUGAAACAAGGAGUUUCGCCUGUUUUGGUGCUUAGUAUUUGGAAUGCCUCACCCAAUUUCCCAUAGGCCGGAGCUGGCAGUCUGAGGCCAGGCUGUACACCCAACAUGAGGUUUGAACUCUA